Molecule: microRNA precursor, 94 nt
Filed under: Canis lupus familiaris (dog)
Lineage: Eukaryota; Metazoa; Chordata; Mammalia; Carnivora; Canidae
Also listed under: 1 other name
Description: mir-8799 microRNA precursor family
Rfam family: mir-8799 microRNA precursor family
Source: Rfam by way of RNAcentral
GGGGGAGUGCCGGAUCUUGGGCUGUGUGCCCUGGCACCCUGGGCUCCGGGGCCUGCACCACUGGAAUCGCUCUCCUGGGGCAACGCAGACCCUC